RNAcentral lists this long non-coding RNA (279 nucleotides) under Panax ginseng (ginseng). Its description in RNAcentral is "long non-coding RNA (PGIN_LNC005484)". Lineage: Eukaryota; Viridiplantae; Streptophyta; Magnoliopsida; Apiales; Araliaceae. The record is from RNAcentral.
CCAGCAAGUUUAAAUACAACAAUAUAACGAUAUAUCAUGAUUGAAGAGUAUGGAUAAUAAGCUGGUUAUAAUUCAUCAAUAUAAUUGAGAACUAGCAGGAACAAACUUUUGACUGAACAAGUUUUAAACAUAAACAAACAUUUCUGAACCAACUGGUAAUGAAUGUGAUCAGCCUUUCAUACCUGACUUAUACAUGCAAGAUGUACAGAGUACAAUUUUCAUCGCAAUCAGCAAUGAUUUAACCAUAAGCUUGAAUAAAACACUCUUAUUAGAGUUAAG